This 2345-nucleotide long non-coding RNA is filed under the name Homo sapiens (human). RNAcentral's name for it is "non-protein coding LINC00458:15". Lineage: Eukaryota; Metazoa; Chordata; Mammalia; Primates; Hominidae. The record is from RNAcentral.
AGACGGCCCUAUCCCUGUCUCCCUUGGCUGACUCUCUUUUCGGACUCAGCCCGCCUGCACCCAGGUGAAAUAAACAGCCUUGUUGCUCACACAAAGCCUGUUUGGUGGUCUCUUCACACAAACGCGCAUGAAAUUUGGUGCCAUGACUCGGAUCGGGGUACCUCCCUUGGGAGAUCAAUCCCCAGUCCUCCUGCUCUUUGCUCCGUGAGAAAGAUCUACCUAGGACCUCAGGUCCUCAGACUGACCAGCCCAAGGAACAUCUCACCAAUUUCAAAUCUGGACCCCACUGAAAAUCGGACUGUUCAACUCAUCUGGCAGCCACUCCCAGAGCCCCUGGAACUCUGGCCCAAGCCUCUCUGACUGACUCCUUCCCAGAUCUUCUCGGCUUAGCAGCUGAAGACUGACACUGCCCAAUCGCCUUGGAAGCCCCCUAGACCAUCACGGAUGCCGAGCUUCGAGUAACUCUCACAGUGGAGGGAACGCGCAUGAAAAAACCAAACAAACAAAAAAAUUUCUUUUGGUAGCAGAAUAAAAAAACAAAAAAAAGGACUUUUUCUUCUGGACUGAACUAUAUUUAAAUCUCAAAGGAUGGACAUCUCACAACCUUCCUACAGCAAGUACUGUGAGCCAUGUAAAGGUGUGCUGCUUUCCCUUUGCCUUCCGCCAUUAUUGAAAGUUUCCUGAGGCCUCCCCAGCCAUGCUACCUGUACGACCUGUGAAACCAUAAGCCAAUUAAGAGCACAGUCCAUCAAUCUUACAAGCAGUUCUAAUAGUUCCUGGAUUUGGAAUUUGAUGCAGAGCUUGAUGCAGGCUUUGUAUGAACAGAUGCUUAUAUAAAAGCUAAAAUAGGUGCAGAUGUCUUCUGUUAACCUCACAGGAUAUGACCAUCAAUUAACUUCAAUUUUGUCUUGUUUACUAUGCAAACGUUUGAAUUUCAUAUUUAUUUUGCUCAUAUCAAAACAUAAUUUUAUUGACCAAACUAAGGACAUUUUCCUACAAAAGUAUGUUAGCUCUAGCAUUCCUUUAUCAUUGGAAUCUAACCACACAUUGUUCAUUCAUUCAACAGACAUUUAAUGAGUGCCUAUUAUUUGUCAGCUAUUUUAUUAGAUACAAGUGAGAACACAGACAUGGUCUCUUCUAAGAGAAGGUAGAAUUCAUUUAGAACUGAAAAAUUAGCAAAUAAAAGACAUGAGCACAGAUUUGAAGACAGGUGAAUGGAUGUUCUCUCUUUAAUGGUUAGAAUAAGUCGGAAAGUAGAAAGAGAAGGGAACUUAACCUGCCUAUUUAAGUGAAAGAAUAUUUGGCCAAAUAUGCCUGAAUUUAGUUAUUGGUGGAUUAAUUCAAAUAUGUUAUAUGAUUUGUAAGUUUCCAGAAGGGCUCCACUCUAUAAGUAUCUAUGCUAUAUAAUGCUUACAUUUCAAUUUCAUAUACAUUUAUUGGGGUUAAAAUAAUUUUUUUGAAACUGCAAAUCCAUCUAGAGGAGCAAUAGAUUAAUAUUGAUAAUUAUUUGUCCCAUAAUGUAAUUGUGUUGGGAUUUUUCAAUUACAGUCAAUUGAAAUAAGACUGAUUUUUAAUGGAAAGAAACAGACUAUAACAUUGCUGGGGUAAUCUGACACAGUGAGUUAACCGAGAGCAGUAAAGGACAGAAAGAUAGACAACAUGGGGAGCUACAGUUCCAUAGAGAAACUCUUCCUGCUUUUAUAGUAACACUCUCACUAGUCAAGGCUAUACUAACAAUGUUGUGAAUUGAAUUUAUUGUUAGAUUUUAUUCAAGAAUAACACAGACAUUGAUUUUAGAUCAUUGCUUCUCUAAGAAAUAUAAUGCUAGCAAAGAACCUAUGUAGAUAUGAGAGACAGAACAGAAACAUUUCUAUGAGCUGAUUAGCAAUAUUAUUCUCAUUGCCCAACAAAGAAUAGUGUAUAGUAGAUAUGUGACUAAGACAGGGCAGUAAGUAAAUAAAAGAGAAGAAGAAACCUAUUUUUCUGAGUAGUUUUCUUUAGUAAUAGACUUUCUCUUCUUUCAGUUAGUUUCCUCUUUCCUUUUCCUUGUCUUUCUUCCUCCUUUUCUUCUGUACCAUUUCUUUUAUCUUUUUUGUUGUCAUCAUUGUCUCCUCUACCUCCUCCUCCUUAUCCCCCAUCUUCCUCAUCUUUUUCAUUGUCAUUAACUAUGAGAUGAUAGUCUAGGGACUCUUCAGAUGCAUAGUUCCUUUCAAAAAUCACUGAAUAAUUGAUUAAAGAUAUGUAUUUAACAUAGAAAUAAAGUUUCAAAAACAAAUACAGUAUGGCAUAGUUCACUGGUGUAUGGAAUUCUUUUUUUUUAGUGGAUUUAUUUUUUAGAGGAGUUU